Homalodisca vitripennis (glassy-winged sharpshooter) is the source of this 445-nucleotide long non-coding RNA. RefSeq lists it as uncharacterized. Lineage: Eukaryota; Metazoa; Arthropoda; Insecta; Hemiptera; Cicadellidae. The transcript is spliced from 3 exons. The record is from RefSeq and is a predicted model, not a curated record.
UUACACUCAUCUCUCAUCAAGGCCACAUUGAAAUGUUCACACCCUUAUUCAGCUUUGGAGUUUCCUCCUUGCGGGUCUCCCAGUCAAAUGCCAGAAACUCGUCAACAGCGUUUGAAGAUAAGCGGAGUUUAAAGCCUUGGGCCUUCAGACAAAGAGUUUCACUGCACUCUAGACAAUGAUCAUGGACAUGGAUAUACCCGAUAGAUCAACUGACAAUGUUCCAUGGCCACCCACGGGUACGAGUGGGCUAGGAGUCUAUUGUACAGUGUAAUCCACUCCUCUCAUCAGUUGUUGACCCUUUCCCCCCUCCCCCCUCCGGACAGACCGUAUUCCCUCCCAUACAUCGAGGAAUAGAAACACCAAUAGUGACAGCCAGGUAUAAUGGUAGACUUGGAGUCUAUUGUACGAUGGAAUCCAUUCCUUCCAGCAGUUCGGUUAACCUCUC